AGUGGGAAGGGUGAGUAAUAUAUCGGAACGUACCCAAGAGUGGGGGAUAACGCAGCGAAAGUUGCGCUAAUACCGCAUACGAUCUAAGGAUGAAAGCAGGGGACCGCAAGGCCUUGUGCUCCUGGAGCGGCCGAUAUCUGAUUAGCUAGUUGGUGAGGUAAAGGCUCACCAAGGCGACGAUCAGUAGCUGGUCUGAGAGGACGACCAGCCACACUGGAACUGAGACAUGGUCCAGACUCCUACGGGAGGCAGCAGUGGGGAAUUUUGGACAAUGGGAGCAAGCCUGAUCAGCAAUGCCGCGUGAGUGAAGAAGGCCUUCGGGUUGUAAAGCUCUUUUGUCAGGGAAGAAACGGCUGUGGCUAAUAUCCACGGCUAAUGACGGUACCUGAAGAAUAAGCACCGGCUAACUACGUGCCAGCAGCCGCGGUAAUACGUAGGGUGCAAGCGUUAAUCGGAAUUACUGGGCGUAAAGCGUGCGCAGGCGGUUUUGUAAGUCUGACGUGAAAUCCCCGGGCUUAACCUGGGAAUUGCGUUGGAGACUGCAAGGCUAGAAUCUGGCAGAGGGGGGUAGAAUUCCACGUGUAGCAGUGAAAUGCGUAGAGAUGUGGAGGAACACCGAUGGCGAAGGCAGCCCCCUGGGUCAAGAUUGGCGCUCAUGCACGAAAGCGUGGGGAGCAAACAGGAUUAGAUACCCUGGUAGUCCACGCCCUAAACGAUGUCUACUAGUUGUCGGGUCUUAAUUGACUUGGUAACGCAGCUAACGCGUGAAGUAGACCGCCUGGGGAGUACGGUCGCAAGAUUAAAA
RNAcentral lists this ribosomal RNA (805 nucleotides) under uncultured bacterium. RNAcentral's name for it is "bacterial SSU rRNA". It matches the Rfam family "Bacterial small subunit ribosomal RNA", at positions 96 to 899 of the family's 1533-position model. The record is from RNAcentral.